CCCAGAGCUGCUAUCGUAUCGGUGACGCUGCAGCGCUGUGGAAAAAGGCUGUCGUGGAAAAACGUUUUCUUUACACUGCGAGGAAGUUUAUUCUUCCGAACAAAAGUGACUAUUUACUACUAACCAGAAAGGAUAUUUUUUCCUGUUGAGGACUUUCCCUUCAAAAGAGAGACAAAUGUGUUGACAGGUUAGUAAAGAACGGUGCGCCUGGCUCGGGGCAGUCAGGAUGGAUGGAUGGCAGAAGCACAAAAUGAAUUCACAAGAAAUUCCAGCGAGAUCUCCAGUGAGUCAUCAAAUCUCCAGUGAGCAGGGCCGUCGUAUGGAAAUGUCAAACAGUCCAGGCAUAUUAAUCAGAGCCUAACAUGGUCCUGGACUAUUACACUCCCUUAACGUUCUACACAGUAUUUUAACACCCAUUUGAUCUUAUAAUGCUACCAUGGCUGGUACUGGAACCAGCCUCCCUGUGGACUGCAUACAGCUGCUCAUCUCAGCCACCUUUAAGGGAUCAGAUGGACACUUUGUAGUGGCCAUAUUCCCCACAGUCACACAGCAAAUACCUGCUGUGGGGGAGUGUGGCAAAGUGGAUGGAGGCUGUGUGGUCCAGUGGUUAAAGAAAAGGGCUUGUAACCAGGAGGUCCCCAGUUCAACUCCACCUCAGCCACUGAUUCAUUGUGUGACCCUGAGCAAGUCACUUAACCUCCUUGUGCUCCGUCUUUUGGGUGUGGAUCCCUUUAGAAGUCAAUGAAUAGGUAAUGAAGUGGACGAGUUGUAAUUACUGCAAUGGAAGGCACAGCAGCGUGAUGUGAACGAGGGAGGAAAAGGCCUGUCUGGCGUGGGCCGAGGGACGGCUUCCCUGCACUCCCAGCGAUUCCCCUGCUCCAAUUUAACAUCACAAAUUAAACCAGAGACUCUCUCUUCAUUAACCACAGAGCACAAGACCAUUAACCAAUUAAACAACCAAUCCUGCCAUCUACAUCCACUUCAUCUGGCUUUCCCUGUCAGUGUGGCUCCCCUGACAUGCCUGGAGCUAAUCACCUGGCAAUCUGGAGCGUCACACACAGCUCGUGCACAGACGACUGUGAAUACCGCUAUUCUCAAUCUAGUGCUUACUACAUGUUGCUGAUUGAUGUAUUACAAUUUAAAUCUCACUUUAUCCCAUGUAACACACAAUACAACACUUAAAUGUUUUCCCAUGAUCCCCUCCCUCAUUUGCAUAGCGGCCCCAGUGUGUUAAUUACCAUCCCCCCUCUGUCACCAUUAAGUGCAUGGUAUUGCCACCUGCCAGCCAUUACAGUAUAAGCAGUAUACAUUGUACUAUUCAUCUAGCCUUAUUAAAAAAACACCACUUUGA
Acipenser ruthenus (sterlet) is the source of this 1351-nucleotide long non-coding RNA. RefSeq lists it as uncharacterized. NCBI's taxonomy places the organism in Eukaryota, Metazoa, Chordata, Actinopteri, Acipenseriformes, Acipenseridae. The transcript has 4 exons. The record is from RefSeq and is a predicted model, not a curated record.